GUAUUCCUAAUUCCUUAAUUAUCAAAUGUAAAUAUUCAAUAACAUUAUCUUUUGAACAAAAAAUAUGAACAACAAUAAGAAGACCAACAAUACAUUCAAAACAUUCAUCAAUAUUGAAAUUCAUUGAGAAAUCUAAUUAUAUUUUGUCUUUAUAUCAAAUAAUGGCAGCAAUAUAAGCUUGAAAAGAUAAUAAACAAAAUCAAAUUAGAAUGAUCUCAUUCUAUUUCUUCAAAAUGAAAUUCCUUGAACUCUUGCAACAAGUUUGGAGAAGACAUCCGUCAAUCCAAUAAAGCGUUUAAAUCUGAAAAUUAACAAGUGAUACAAUUUAUUAGAUUGUAAAAUAAAAAUAUUCAAAACUCUAAUUAGUGCUCGAAGAUG
Molecule: long non-coding RNA, 378 nt
Filed under: Olea europaea (common olive)
Lineage: Eukaryota; Viridiplantae; Streptophyta; Magnoliopsida; Lamiales; Oleaceae
Description: long non-coding RNA (OEUR_LNC012909)
Source: RNAcentral